RNAcentral lists this ribosomal RNA (207 nucleotides) under uncultured bacterium. Its description in RNAcentral is "partial 16S ribosomal RNA". It matches the Rfam family "Bacterial small subunit ribosomal RNA", at positions 568 to 774 of the family's 1533-position model. The record is from RNAcentral.
CGUGCAGGCGGCCUCGCAAGUGGGAUGUGAAAUGCCCUGGCUCAACCAGGGAACUGCAUCCCAAACUACGGGGCUUGAGUACAGGAGAGGAUGGGGGAAUUCCCGGUGUAGCGGUGAAAUGCAUUGAUAUCGGGAGGAACACCAGUGGCGAAGGCGCCCAUCUGGCCUGAUACUGACGCUCAGGCGCGAAAGCUAGGGGAGCAAACA